AAUAGAUACCCCGGUAGUCCACGCCGUAAACGAUGAGUGCUAAGUGUUAGAGGGUUUCCGCCCUUUAGUGCUGCAGCUAACGCAUUAAGCACUCCGCCUGGGGAGUACGGUCGCAAGACUGAAACUCAAAGGAAUUGACGGGGGCCCGCACAAGCGGUGGAGCAUGUGGUUUAAUUCGAAGCAACGCGAAGAACCUUACCAGGUCUUGACAUCCCACUGACCGGUAUAGAGAUAUACCUUUCCCUUCGGGGACAGUGGUGACAGGUGGUGCAUGGUUGUCGUCAGCUCGUGUCGUGAGAUGUUGGGUUAAGUCCCGCAACGAGCGCAACCCUUGAUCUUAGUUGCCAGCAUUUAGUUGGGCACUCUAAGGUGACUGCCAGUGACAAACCGGAGGAAGGUGGGGAUGACGUCAAAUCAUCAUGCCCCUUAUGACCUGGGCUACACACGUGCUACAAUGGAUGGUACAAAGGGCUGCAAGACUGCGAAGUCAAGCCAAUCCCAUAAAACCAUUCUCAGUUCGGAUUGCAGG
This 529-nucleotide ribosomal RNA is filed under the name uncultured bacterium. RNAcentral's name for it is "bacterial SSU rRNA". It matches the Rfam family "Bacterial small subunit ribosomal RNA", at positions 777 to 1304 of the family's 1533-position model. The record is from RNAcentral.